Molecule: unclassified non-coding RNA, 151 nt
Filed under: uncultured Phoma
Lineage: Eukaryota; Fungi; Ascomycota
Description: sequence contains ITS2
Source: RNAcentral
ACCCCCUCAAGCUCUGCUUGGUGUUGGGCGUCUGUCCCGCCUCUGCGCGCGGACUCGCCCCAAAGGCAUUGGCAGCGGUCGUGCCAGCUUCUCGCGCAGCAUACGCGCUACGGAGGCGAGUCGACCCGCGUCCACAAGCACUUUUUUACCA